UACGUAGGGGGCAAGCGUUGUCCGGAUUUAUUGGGCGUAAAGAGCGUGUAGGCGGCUUGGUAGGUCCGCUGUAAAAGUCCAGGGCUCAACCCUGGAAUGCCGGUGGAUACUGUCGGGCUAGAGUCCGGAAGAGGCGAGUGGAAUUCCUGGUGUAGCGGUGGAAUGCGCAGAUAUCAGGGGGAACACCGAUAGCGAAGGCAGCUCGCUGGGACGGUACUGACGCUGAGGCGCGAAAGCGUGGGGAGCGAACAGG
Molecule: ribosomal RNA, 253 nt
Filed under: uncultured bacterium
Lineage: Bacteria
Description: partial 16S ribosomal RNA
Rfam family: Bacterial small subunit ribosomal RNA
Source: RNAcentral